RNAcentral lists this ribosomal RNA (233 nucleotides) under uncultured eukaryote. RNAcentral describes it as "partial 18S ribosomal RNA". It matches the Rfam family "Eukaryotic small subunit ribosomal RNA", at positions 629 to 868 of the family's 1831-position model. The record is from RNAcentral.
CGUAGUUAGAUUUUGGUGUUCGACAAAUGGUCUGCUUCGGUUUGUACUGUUUGUUGGCGCUUCUUUUCUGGGGAACUCACUGCUCUUAACUGAGGGGUGUUGUAACGCAGAUCGUUUACUUUGAAAAAAUUAGAGUGUUCAAAGCAGGCCAAACGCAUUUUGAAUACAUUAGCAUGGAAUAAUGGAAUAGGACUUUGGUCUUAUUUUGUUGGUUUCUAAGGCCGAGGUAAUGA